RNAcentral lists this long non-coding RNA (467 nucleotides) under Monodelphis domestica (gray short-tailed opossum). Its description in RNAcentral is "lncRNA (ENSMODG00000043938.1)". Lineage: Eukaryota; Metazoa; Chordata; Mammalia; Didelphimorphia; Didelphidae. The record is from RNAcentral.
AGGAAACGUGGGAAGAUCCUGCUAGCUUUCAUAGCAGCACUGUAAGGUUUAUGAAACACACUCUUCGGCCAAAUGAACCCAUGCGGAUUUUCCUCUCCGUCGCAGACCCCAGGCGAUUGGCUAAGAGUGACUUGAUGGCCUGUUUUGCACUCCAGGGGGAAGAAGGCAGUUAUCAUCUGUUGGUCCAUGAAAGAUGACAAGUUUCUAGCAAUUUGGAGAAGAGCAAUCUUGAUUCCUGGCCCCAGUAAAGAGUGAACUUCUUUGCCUCUCUGGUAAGUAAUGUCCCCCUUUCCUUUGCUGUCCUGAAGCUGAAAAACUAAAGUCAGGAGAAAAUUGUCAAUUGGCUCAGAAUGACAUACUCUAGCUAGAGAGCUCAAAGGCCCCUUCCAAUGCAAGCAAUACACUUUUUCAGACUUGGCCCCCUUAUUCUUUCCAAAGUCACAGAGAUUCAUUCUCGAUAAACAAAC